Molecule: long non-coding RNA, 269 nt
Filed under: Homo sapiens (human)
Lineage: Eukaryota; Metazoa; Chordata; Mammalia; Primates; Hominidae
Description: HSALNT0276912
Source: RNAcentral
GGACAGUUUUAAGUUCACAUCAAAACUGGGCAGAAAGUACAGAGUUCCCACAUAUCUGCUGUCCCCAUACACACACAACCUCUGGUUCCAGAGAUAUCCAUUUGCUGAAAUUGAUGAGCCUACACUGACACGCUAAUAUCACCCAAAGUUCCUAGUUUACAUUAGGGCUCAUUCUUGGUGUUGGAUAUUCUAUGGGUUUUGACAAAUGUAUAAUGACAUGUGUCCACCAUUGUGGUAUCACGCAGAAUAGUUUCACUGCCCUAAAAAUC